Molecule: ribosomal RNA, 483 nt
Filed under: uncultured bacterium
Lineage: Bacteria
Description: bacterial SSU rRNA
Rfam family: Bacterial small subunit ribosomal RNA
Source: RNAcentral
GAUGAACGCUAGCGGCAGGCUUAAUACAUGCAAGUCAAGGGGGUAGCAAUACUACCGGCGCACGGGUGAGUAACACGUACAUAACAUACCAUAUACUGGGGUAUAGCUUUGGGAAACUGAAGGUAAUCCCCCAUAACAUUGCGAGAGGGCAUCUGAUUGCAAUUAAAGUUUCGACGGUGUAUGAUUGAUGUGCGUUUGAUUGGCUUGUUGGUAGGGUAACGGCCUACCAAGGCGACGAUCAAUAGCUGGCGUGAGAGCGCGACCAGCCACACUGGAACUGAGACACGGUCCAGACUCCUACGGGAGGCAGCAGUAGGGAAAUAUUGGACAAUGGGCGAAAGCCUGAUCCAGCCAUGCCGCGUGAUAGAUGAAGGCCCUCUGGGUUGUAAAUAUCUUUUAUCUGGGAAGAAACAAUCUUAUUCUUAAGAUCUUGACGGUACCAGAGGAAUAAGCACCGGCUAACUCCGUGCCAGCAGCCGCGGU